Molecule: ribosomal RNA, 1448 nt
Filed under: Bacillus amyloliquefaciens
Lineage: Bacteria; Bacillati; Bacillota; Bacilli; Caryophanales; Bacillaceae
Description: 16S ribosomal RNA
Rfam family: Bacterial small subunit ribosomal RNA
Source: RNAcentral
AGUCGAGCGGACAGAUGGGAGCUUGCUCCCUGAUGUUAGCGGCGGACGGGUGAGUAACACGUGGGUAACCUGCCUGUAAGACUGGGAUAACUCCGGGAAACCGGGGCUAAUACCGGAUGGUUGUUUGAACCGCAUGGUUCAGACAUAAAAGGUGGCUUCGGCUACCACUUACAGAUGGACCCGCGGCGCAUUAGCUAGUUGGUGAGGUAACGGCUCACCAAGGCAACGAUGCGUAGCCGACCUGAGAGGGUGAUCGGCCACACUGGGACUGAGACACGGCCCAGACUCCUACGGGAGGCAGCAGUAGGGAAUCUUCCGCAAUGGACGAAAGUCUGACGGAGCAACGCCGCGUGAGUGAUGAAGGUUUUCGGAUCGUAAAGCUCUGUUGUUAGGGAAGAACAAGUGCCGUUCAAAUAGGGCGGCACCUUGACGGUACCUAACCAGAAAGCCACGGCUAACUACGUGCCAGCAGCCGCGGUAAUACGUAGGUGGCAAGCGUUGUCCGGAAUUAUUGGGCGUAAAGGGCUCGCAGGCGGUUUCUUAAGUCUGAUGUGAAAGCCCCCGGCUCAACCGGGGAGGGUCAUUGGAAACUGGGGAACUUGAGUGCAGAAGAGGAGAGUGGAAUUCCACGUGUAGCGGUGAAAUGCGUAGAGAUGUGGAGGAACACCAGUGGCGAAGGCGACUCUCUGGUCUGUAACUGACGCUGAGGAGCGAAAGCGUGGGGAGCGAACAGGAUUAGAUACCCUGGUAGUCCACGCCGUAAACGAUGAGUGCUAAGUGUUAGGGGGUUUCCGCCCCUUAGUGCUGCAGCUAACGCAUUAAGCACUCCGCCUGGGGAGUACGGUCGCAAGACUGAAACUCAAAGGAAUUGACGGGGGCCCGCACAAGCGGUGGAGCAUGUGGUUUAAUUUGAAGCAACGCGAAGAACCUUACCAGGUCUUGACAUCCUUUGACAAUCCUAGAGAUAGGACGUCCCCUUCGGGGGCAGAGUGACAGGUGGUGCAUGGUUGUYGUCAGCUCGUGUYGUGAGAUGUUGGGUUAAGUCCCGCAACGAGCGCAACCCUUGAUUUUAGUUGCCAGCAUUCAGUUGGGCACUUUAAGGUGACUGCCGGUGACAAACCGGAGGAAGGUGGGGAUGACGUCAAAUCAUCAUGCCCCUUAUGACCUGGGCUACACACGUGCUACAAUGGGCAGAACAAAGGGCAGCGAAACCGCGAGGUUAAGCCAAUCCCACAAAUYUGUUYUCAGUUCGGAUCGCAGUUUGCAACUUGAMUGCGUGAAGCYGGAAUCGCUUGUAAUCGCGGAUCAGCAUGCCGCGGUGAAUACGUUCCCGGGCCUUGUACACACCGCCCGUCACACCACGAGAGUUUGUAACACCCGAAGUCGGUGAGGUAACCUUUUUGGAGCCAGCCGCCGAAGGUGGGACAGAUGAUUGGGGUGAAGUCGUA